AAAGUCGUAACAAGGUUUCCGUAGGUGAACCUGCGGAAGGAUCAUUAUUGAAUAUUCUUGAUGGGUUGUAGCUGGCUCUUUGGAGCAUGUGCACGCCUGUCUUGACUUAAUUCAUCCACCUGUGCACUUUUUGUAGUCUUGGAGGUUGAGAGCGGUCGACUAUCGGAUGGCUGUUAUGGCCUUUCCGGAUGUGAGGAAUUGCUGAGUGCAAAAGCAUACAGCUCUUCUCAAAAUGACUCACAAUACCUCUCCUUCAAGUACUAUGUAUUCAUAUACCACAUAGUAUGUUGUAGAAUGUGAUCAAUGGGCUUAUGGCCUAUAAUAAUGAAAUACAACUUUCAGCAACGGAUCUCUUGGCUCUC
This 362-nucleotide unclassified non-coding RNA is filed under the name Basidiomycota sp. RNAcentral's name for it is "partial contains small subunit ribosomal RNA, internal transcribed spacer 1, and 5.8S ribosomal RNA". The stretch from base 1 to 47 matches the Rfam family "Eukaryotic small subunit ribosomal RNA", at positions 1785 to 1831 of the family's 1831-position model. The record is from RNAcentral. Lineage: Eukaryota; Fungi; Basidiomycota.